CGCGUAGGCGGUCCACUCAGUCAGGUGUGAAAUCCCCCGGCUCAACCGGGGAACUGCACCUGAUACUGGUGGACUCGAGGAUGGUAGGGGUGAGCGGAACUCCAGGUGGAGCGGUGAAAUGCGUAGAUAUCUGGAGGAACACCGGUGGCGAAAGCGGCUCACUGGGCCAUCUCUGACGCUGAGGCGCGAAAGCUAGGGUAGCAAACG
Molecule: ribosomal RNA, 207 nt
Filed under: uncultured bacterium
Lineage: Bacteria
Description: partial 16S ribosomal RNA
Rfam family: Bacterial small subunit ribosomal RNA
Source: RNAcentral